CCUACGGGUGGCAGCAGUGAGGAAUAUUGGUCAAUGGGCUUACGCCUGAACCAGCCAAGUCGUGUGAGGGAAGACUGCCCUAUGGGUUGUAAACCUCUUUUGUCAGGGAGAAAUUGGCGCUACGUGUAGCGUUAUCGAGAGUACCUGCCGAAAAAGCAUCGGCUAACUCCGUGCCAGCAGCCGCGGUAAUACGGAGGAUGCGAGCGUAAUCCGGAUUUAUUGGGUUAAAAGGGUGCGUAGGCGGAAUGCCAAGUAAGCGGUAAAAUCGCGGGGCUCAACCGCGCACUGCCGUUGAAACUGGCGUUCGUGAGUGGGCGAGAGGUAUGCAGAAGGCGUGGUGUAGCGGUGAAAUGCGUAGAUA
RNAcentral lists this ribosomal RNA (361 nucleotides) under uncultured bacterium. RNAcentral describes it as "partial 16S ribosomal RNA". It matches the Rfam family "Bacterial small subunit ribosomal RNA", at positions 338 to 696 of the family's 1533-position model. The record is from RNAcentral.